GAUGAAGAACGUAGCGAAAUGCGAUACGUAAUGUGAAUUGCAAAUUCAGUGAAUCAUCGAGUCUUUGAACGCACAUUGCGCCCCCUGGUAUUCCGGGGGGCAUGCCUGUCCGAGCGUCAUUGCUGCCCUCAAGCACGGCUUGUGUGUUGGGCCCCGUCCUCCGAUCCCGGGGGACGGGCCCGAAAGGCAGCGGCGGCACCGCGUCCGGUCCUCGAGCGUAUGGGGCUUUGUCACCCGCUCUGUAGGCCCGGCCGGCGCUUGCCGAUCAACCCAAAUUUUUUAUCCAGGUUGACCUCGGAUCAGGUAGGGAUACCCGCUGAAUUUAAGCAUAUCAAUAAGCGGAGGA
Molecule: unclassified non-coding RNA, 346 nt
Filed under: soil metagenome
Description: partial contains 5.8S ribosomal RNA, internal transcribed spacer 2, and large subunit ribosomal RNA
Rfam family: 5.8S ribosomal RNA (bases 1-119)
Source: RNAcentral